UUAAGCAGCCAAUUUCACCCUGCAACUCGUAACUGGCAACCCACUGAAGCCAAGCAGGUGUGAGCCUGGCCAGUACCUGGAUGGGAGACCUCCUGGGAAAAACGAAGGUUGCUGCUGGAA
RNAcentral lists this ribosomal RNA (120 nucleotides) under Lepisosteus oculatus (spotted gar). The record is from RNAcentral. Lineage: Eukaryota; Metazoa; Chordata; Actinopteri; Semionotiformes; Lepisosteidae.